AUAAACCUUUUAUUAGAA
This 18-nucleotide transfer RNA is filed under the name Asprenas sp. ASP5. RNAcentral's name for it is "partial tRNA-Leu". The record is from RNAcentral. Lineage: Eukaryota; Metazoa; Arthropoda; Insecta; Phasmatodea; Phasmatidae.